CAGGCAGCACCACUGAGCUAAAUCCCUGCCAUUGUGGUGGGUGGGGGGACUAGGGGACUGAACUAUUUUUCUCCCAUCAGAUCUAUUCGCUGUAUCUCCUUUCACCCCUUUGAAGGGGGACUGGGGGACUGAAUCCAAGGUCUUUACACUGAGCUUUAUCCCUAGUUUCUUUUUGGUUUUGUUUUGUUUUUUUUGAGACAAGUUGAAAAAUUCUCCAGGCUGGGCUCAAACUUGCCAUCCUCCUGCCUCAGCCUGGGUUGUGGGAUUACAGACUCUCGAGGCCUUGCCCAGCCCUUCUCCCCUGUCCUGUCAUACUCUUCCUAAACCCCCUCACACACCCAUCUCACCCAUCCUCCUUGCCUCGGCGCACAGCCCCUAAAGCCAACCUCUGAGCCUCCUCCCACCCCUCCCUCAUCUCCCCAUCCUCCUCCCUUGGUCCAGUCCUGUCCUCCCCAGCCUGCGAGAUCCCUGCCUGUGCUGCCCACACACCCAGGCUCCUGAAGGAGCCACUUUCUGAAAUCACACAGAGCAGAGGAGGCAUUUGGAAGUUACGGACUCACAGGAGUCUCCUGCUCCCAGGAAAACCCACUUCCUAGGGCGAGGAAUGUCUCAUGUUUCACUCACAUACAGCCCUGCCCUCCCCUCCUCCAAAACGGCCUGGGAACGGGAGGCCACGGGCACAUCACCCUGCCCAGGUGGCCGGGCAGUAGCACAAUCUGGAAUUUCAGGUCUAUAAAUCACUUGAGGGGCAGGGAGCUCAUAAAAUCUUUUCUCCCAUUGUGCCUGCUGGGUCUGCUGUCCCCUCCUUCUGGCACCCUCCCUCUUUCCUUGAAGACUGGCCCAAGUGGGGGCCUGAGCAUUUAAAGGGAGCCACUGUAUGUGUGGCUGGCCAGAGAGGCUUUGGGCAGAGAAGGUGAGGAGAGGACUCUGGGAGUCUGGAACGGGCUAAGGUUCACGGAAAGCCAGCCCCGAGUUCUGGCCAGGGAUUCCAGGGCUGAGCCUAGGUCUCCCUGCUGUGGAAAGGUCCAUUGCCUGGGUACGGGGUGCUGGGCACUUUGGUGCCAGCCUGCAGCCUGCAGAGAGCUGAGCAUCCUUGGCAGCUGGGCUGUGGAGUGGAGCCUGGCUUCCAGCUGGGCUUUCCCUCCUCUCCUGGUCUCUGCUUGCUUCAGCCCCACUCAUCUGUCCCAGCCAGGACUAUGGCACCUGCAACAGCAGAGGAAGAGAAGGGAUCUUCGAUUGUGGUGGGGCUGCUGGUCAUGGGCAACAUCGUUAUUCUGCCUGAGCAUGGGGAGCGAGGGUUUUGCCAUUCAUCACGUGCCCAGUGGACCACUCUGAGAGGACAGUGGAGGCUCGGAAGAGAGAAGAUGCUGUCUGUAACCCGCUGCCCCAUUCAGCUGUCAGGCCUGGCCCUGUUUGCCGAGACGGUAUGGGUAACGGCUGACCAGUACCGCGUGUACCCGCUGAUGGGCAUCUCGGGCAAGGAUGAUGUCUUCGCUGGGGCCUGGAUUGCCAUCUUCUGCGGCUUCUCCUUCUUCGUGGUGGCCAGCUUCGGUGUGGGAGCAGCACUCUGCCGCCAUCGGUCCAUGAUCCUCACGUACCUGGUGCUGAUGCUCAUUGUCUACAUCUUCGAGUGCGCCUCCUGCAUCACGUCCUACACCCACCGUGACUACAUGGUGUCCAACCCAUCCCUGAUCACCAAGCAGAUGCUGACCCUUUACAGUGCCAACACAGACCAGGGCCAGGAGCUGACUCGCCUCUGGGACCGCGUCAUGAUGGAGCAAGAGUGCUGCGGCACAUCUGGUCCCAUGGACUGGGUGAACUACACGUCAGCCUUCCGUGCGGCCACUCCGGAGGUGGUGUUCCCCUGGCCCCCGCUGUGCUGUCGCCGGACGGGAAACUUUAUCCCCCUCAGUGAAGAGGGCUGUCGCCUGGGCCACGUGGACUACCUGUUCAUCAAGGUGCGCUCCUCACCUCCCCACACCUGCCUCUCUGCCCUUCCCUGGUUUCUGCUCACUCUCUGGUGCUCACUUCCUCCCUCCCACUGUCUGUCUGUCUCCCCCUGGGCUCCCUUCUCUGGCUUUCCCUUUCCCUCCUCUCGCCCUGCUCUCCCCACUCUCCCUGCAAGUCAGCAGGAUGCUCACAGCUCCAUCUGACCCACACCUGCCUCCUGCAACUUGUCCCAGGCUGCACAGGAAUGAGAGCAACAACCACAGCGAUGUCAACAGCACAGUGCCCCUGAUGACCCAUGUUGGUUGGGUUUGUCCUUUGUGCCACCUGUUCUUUUCAGUGCUUUUGCUUUUUAUCUUGUUUAAUCAUCGCCACAGUCUUAUGAGGGCUGCUUCCAGCACAUCGGCCACGCCAUCGACAGCUACACGUGGGGCA
RNA transcript from Fukomys damarensis (Damara mole-rat), 2382 nucleotides. It is a transcript of the gene named uroplakin 1A, with no coding region annotated. The transcript has 6 exons. NCBI's taxonomy places the organism in Eukaryota, Metazoa, Chordata, Mammalia, Rodentia, Bathyergidae. The record is from RefSeq and is a predicted model, not a curated record.